This 468-nucleotide ribosomal RNA is filed under the name uncultured bacterium. Its description in RNAcentral is "partial 16S ribosomal RNA". It matches the Rfam family "Bacterial small subunit ribosomal RNA", at positions 28 to 507 of the family's 1533-position model. The record is from RNAcentral.
GACGAACGCUGGCGGCGUGCUUAACACAUGCAAGUCGAACGGAAAGGCCCUGCUUUUGUGGGGUGCUCGAGUGUCGAACGUGUGAGUAACACGUGAGUAACCUGCCCUUGACUUUGGUAUAACUUCAGGACACUGGGGCUAAUACCGGAUAGGAGCUCCUGCUGCAUGGUGGGGGUUGGAAAGUUUCGGCGGUUGGGGAUGGACUCGCGGCUUAUCAGCUUGUUGGUGGGGUAGUGGCUUACCAAGGCUUUGACGGGUAGCCGGCCUGAGAGGGUGACCGGCCACAUUGGGACUGAGAUACGGCCCAGACUCCUACGGGAGGCAGCAGUGGGGAAUAUUGCACAAUGGGCGGAAGCCUGAGGCAGCAACGCCGCGUGCGGGAUGACGGCCUUCGGGUUGUAAACCGCUUUCGCCUGUGACGAAGCGUGAGUGACGGUAAUGGGUAAAGAAGCACCGGCUAACUACGUG